CUGAUUGAUGGUGCUUGCACUUGAUUGACGUUGGAUCACCAGUGAGUGGCGGACGGGUGAGUAACACGUAGGUAACCUGCCCUGGAGCGGGGGAUAACAUUUGGAAACAGAUGCUAAUACCGCAUAACAACAAAAGCCACAUGGCUUUUGUUUGAAAGAUGGCUUUGGCUAUCACUCUGGGAUGGACCUGCGGUGCAUUAGCUAGUUGGUAAGGUAACGGCUUACCAAGGCGAUGAUGCAUAGCCGAGUUGAGAGACUGAUCGGCCACAAUGGAACUGAGACACGGUCCAUACUCCUACGGGAGGCAGCAGUAGGGAAUCUUCCACAAUGGGCGCAAGCCUGAUGGAGCAACACCGCGUGAGUGAAGAAGGGUUUCGGCUCGUAAAGCUCUGUUGUUGGAGAAGAACGUGCGUGAGAGUAACUGUUCACGCAGUGACGGUAUCCAACCAGAAAGUCACGGCUAACUACGUGCCAGCAGCCGCGGUAAUACGUAGGUGGCAAGCGUUAUCCGGAUUUAUUGGGCGUAAAGCGAGCGCAGGCGGUUGCUUAGGUCUGAUGUGAAAGCCUUCGGCUUAACCGAAGAAGUGCAUCGGAAACCGGGCGACUUGAGUGCAGAAGAGGACAGUGGAACUCCAUGGGUAGCGGUGGAAUGCGUAGAUAUAUGGAAGAACACCAGUGGCGAAGGCGGCUGUCUGGUCUGCAACUGACGCUGAGGCUCGAAAGCAUGGGUAGCGAACAGGAUUAGAUACCUGGUAGUCCAUGCCGUAAACGAUGAGUGCUAGGUGUUGGAGGGUUUCCGCCCUUCAGUGCCGGAGCUAACGCAUUAAGCACUCCGCCUGGGGAGUACGACCGCAAGGUUGAAACUCAAAGGAAUUGACGGGGGCCCGCACAAGCGGUGGAGCAUGUGGUUAAUUCGAAGCUACGCGAAGAACCUUACCAGGUCUUGACAUCUUGCGCUAACCUUAGAGAUAAGGCGUUCCCUUCGGGGACGCAAUGACAGGUGGUGCAUGGUCGUCGUCAGCUCGUGUCGUGAGAUGUUGGGUUAAGUCCCGCAACGAGCGCAACCCUUGUUACUAGUUGCCAGCAUUAAGUUGGGCACUCUAGUGAGACUGCCGGUGACAAACCGGAGGAAGGUGGGGACGACGUCAGAUCAUCAUGCCCCUUAUGACCUGGGCUACACACGUGCUACAAUGGACGGUACAACGAGUUGCAAACUCGCGAGAGCAAGCUAAUCUCUUAAAGCCGUUCUCAGUUCGGACUGUAGGCUGCAACUCGCCUACACGAAGUCGGAAUCGCUAGUAAUCGCGGAUCAGCAUGCCGCGGUGAAUACGUUCCCGGGCCUUGUACACACCGCCCGUCACACCAUGGGAGUUUGUAACGCCCAAAGUCGGUGGCCUAACCUUUGUGGAGGGAGCCGCCUAAGGC
This 1425-nucleotide ribosomal RNA is filed under the name uncultured Lactobacillus sp. RNAcentral describes it as "bacterial SSU rRNA". It matches the Rfam family "Bacterial small subunit ribosomal RNA". The record is from RNAcentral. Lineage: Bacteria; Bacillati; Bacillota; Bacilli; Lactobacillales; Lactobacillaceae.